RNAcentral lists this ribosomal RNA (374 nucleotides) under uncultured bacterium. RNAcentral's name for it is "bacterial SSU rRNA". It matches the Rfam family "Bacterial small subunit ribosomal RNA", at positions 524 to 898 of the family's 1533-position model. The record is from RNAcentral.
UACGUAGGGUGCGAGCGUUAAUCGGAAUUACUGGGCGUAAAGCGUGCGCAGGCGGUUAUGUAAGACAGAGGUGAAAUCCCCGGGCUCAACCUGGGAACUGCCUUUGUGACUGCAUAGCUGGAGUACGGUAGAGGGGGAUGGAAUUCCGCGUGUAGCAGUGAAAUGCGUAGAUAUGCGGAGGAACACCGAUGGCGAAGGCAAUCCCCUGGACCUGUACUGACGCUCAUGCACGAAAGCGUGGGGAGCAAACAGGAUUAGAUACCCUGGUAGUCCACGCCCUAAACGAUGUCAACUGGUUGUUGGGUCUUAACUGACUCAGUAACGAAGCUAACGCGUGAAGUUGACCGCCUGGGGAGUACGGCCGCAAGGUUGAA